RNAcentral lists this transfer RNA (92 nucleotides) under Saccharothrix algeriensis. Its description in RNAcentral is "tRNA-Ile". RNAcentral also lists the same sequence under 1 other name. Lineage: Bacteria; Bacillati; Actinomycetota; Actinomycetes; Pseudonocardiales; Pseudonocardiaceae. The record is from RNAcentral.
CGGCCGGGUCGGUCGUGGCGGGUGGCCGCCGGUAUGUGGCGGCGCUGGUCGCGGCCGUGGACCGGACCCGGUUCGAGGCCGGGCUCGCCGCC